AGGACAGUACUCUUCUUUCACCUUACUUCAAGAGUUCUAACUCUUAGAACUCGAUCAGUCUCCAACUGAUCAGAUCUUCCUCCAGACAUGAGUUUGGAUCUCUCAGAACCUCUUUCUAGUCUUAACCUUCUUCUUUAGGACCUCUUAAACCCUUUAUCCGAUUAGGAAUAGGCUUAUCUUAAAAGAACAAACCUUGUCUAAAAGA
RNAcentral lists this long non-coding RNA (205 nucleotides) under Elaeis guineensis (African oil palm). RNAcentral describes it as "long non-coding RNA (EGUI_LNC048932)". The record is from RNAcentral. Lineage: Eukaryota; Viridiplantae; Streptophyta; Magnoliopsida; Arecales; Arecaceae.